This is a long non-coding RNA of Oncorhynchus tshawytscha (Chinook salmon), 1325 nucleotides long. RefSeq lists it as uncharacterized. The record is from RefSeq and is a predicted model, not a curated record. The transcript has 2 exons. NCBI's taxonomy places the organism in Eukaryota, Metazoa, Chordata, Actinopteri, Salmoniformes, Salmonidae.
CUCAUCCUCUCUCCCUCUCUUCAUCCUCUCUCCCUCUCUUCAUCCUCUCUGUCUCUUCAUCCUCUCUCCCUCUCCUCCUCUCCUGCCUUGCUGGUCACAGGUUAUAUCUACCUUUACCUCAGACCUCUCCAGCACUUAGAACUAGGAAAAUUAGGGACUUCAAUGCUGGUUCAGUGUAGCAACCUUGUGAAACAACCGCAAAGUCUUGGCAUGGCCCCUCCUUUGUCCUUGUGUGGAUGAAUUAAGGAGGUAGAUGUCAUUACUUAUAAAGCGAAUUGCUCUUCGAAAUCUAAAAAUGUAAUCAACCGUCUUUGCCAUUCCUGAAAACUCUGCUGCUCGUGGUCUGUCAAAAACCUUGCUCUCUGUGAGUUAGUUUUCUGCUUUAGGCUGUCUGUCUGUGAGUUAGUUUUCUGUCUCUCUCUCUCUCUCUCUCUCUGUCUCUCUCUCUCUCUCUCUCUCUCUCUCUCUCUCUCUCUCUCUCUCUCUCUCUCUCCCUCUCACUUUUUUUUUUCUAACUUUCUUGCAACAGAGGUGGGUUGUGUUCAUUUGGCCACAAAGUAGCCAAAUGUUUCUGUUACAAACGACCAGAUACUGGGGUAGCUGUAUGAGUCCACUGUCAAAUGUGACACAUCGUCUUUCUUUUCUUCUUCUUGUUUUUUCUCUCUCCAUCGUUACCCAGAUUCAGAAUUUGGAGGCAAAAGCUAUUUUUUUAUUAUCUUGAGCUCUUAAAAUACCAGAAUUGUAUAAAAAAAAUAUAUAGAUGAGUAUUUAUACCAAAAGUAUAUUGUGUAAAGUAAAGGGUCCCUGAGGAGGAGGUCUGAUGGAGGCCUGGCGCAUGCUCUGCAGAUUGUAGGUAGUAGACCUAGCUAGCCUGGUUUAGCUAGCCUAGCAUCCCGUUGGCUAGCCUGGUUUAGCUAGCCUAGCAUCCCGUUGGCUAGCCUGGUUUAGCUAGCCUAGCAUCCCGUUGGCUAGCCUGGUUUAGCUAGCCUAGCGUCCCGUUGGCUAGCCUGGUUUAGCUAGCCUAGCGUCCCGUUGGCUAACCAGGUUUAGCUAGCCUAGCAUCCCGUUGGCUAACCAGGUUUAGCUAGCCUAGCGUCCCGUUGGCUAACCAGGUUUAGCUAGCCUAGCGUCCCGUUGGCUAACCAGGUUUAGCUAGCCUAGCGUCCCGUUGGCUAACCAGGUUUAGUUAGCCUAGCGUCCCGUUGGCUAGAGGCUGUGUGUACAUUACAUUCAUAGGACCAGUGAAUAGAAUGCAUAUUUUGUUUUUAUAUCAGAGUGUUAAAUCCGUGUAAUAUGUAAUAAACAACUUUACCAAAUGAGCGUAA